UAUAGAUUGAUGCUACCUUUGCUAAAAA
Molecule: non-coding RNA, 28 nt
Filed under: Mus musculus (house mouse)
Lineage: Eukaryota; Metazoa; Chordata; Mammalia; Rodentia; Muridae
Source: RNAcentral